GUGGGGCGGCGGGAAGCUCAUCAGUGGGGCUACGAACUGAGUGCGCUUAGUCACUCUAUCCAAUGUCCCUUGGGAAGGUCUGAGACUAGGGCCAUCGAGCGGCCCUAACAGGGCCCUCCCUGAGCUUCGGGGAGGUGAGUUCCCAGAGAACGGGGCUCCGCGCGAGGGUAGACUGGGCAGGAGAUGCCAUGGACCCCGCCCUUGCGGAGGGGCCUGGCGGAUGCCUCCUUAGCCGGAGCUUGGAACAGACUCACGGCCAGCGAAGUGAGUUCAAUGGCUGAGGUGAGGUACCCCGCGUGGGGGCCUCAUAACCCAAUUCAGACUACUCUCCCGCCCGUCCUUUUUUAACGAAAUGCUGCUAAGAGAAUGCUAAGACAGCAAAAGAGAUGAUUUAUUGUACACGUUACAUUCAGCCACAACUGAGAAGAGAACUAGUCCAUAGUUAUCACAGGUCCAGGGCAAAGGAUCAAAAGGGACGGCUUUGAUACGAGCAAGGUUGAAGAUGGAGUCCACUGAGGAAGGAAAGCCUGGGUCUUCAGCACCACAUGUGUCAGCCCAGAAGCAGCAGUGUGAAAACCUCUAUAACAUCUGCAGACCCCUAAAAAUUAAGGAGACUUUGAUUUGGACAUUCUCAGUAGGAAUGGUUAAAGGCUAAUGGGACCAUAGA
Long non-coding RNA from Dama dama (fallow deer), 667 nucleotides. RefSeq lists it as uncharacterized. Lineage: Eukaryota; Metazoa; Chordata; Mammalia; Artiodactyla; Cervidae. The record is from RefSeq and is a predicted model, not a curated record. The transcript is spliced from 3 exons.